RNAcentral lists this ribosomal RNA (92 nucleotides) under Chlorocebus sabaeus (green monkey). The record is from RNAcentral. Lineage: Eukaryota; Metazoa; Chordata; Mammalia; Primates; Cercopithecidae.
AUCUACCACCAUACCCCCCCGAACAUGCCUGAUCUCAUCCAUUCUCGGAAGCUAAGCAGGGUCCAGCCUGGUUGGUACUUGGAUGAGAGAUA